RNAcentral lists this ribosomal RNA (253 nucleotides) under uncultured bacterium. RNAcentral describes it as "partial 16S ribosomal RNA". It matches the Rfam family "Bacterial small subunit ribosomal RNA", at positions 524 to 776 of the family's 1533-position model. The record is from RNAcentral.
UACGAAGGGGGCUAGCGUUGUUCGGAUUUACUGGGCGUAAAGCGCACGUAGGCGGAUCGUUAAGUCGGGGGUGAAAUCCUGGAGCUCAACUCCAGAACUGCCUUCGAUACUGGCGAUCUUGAGUCCGGAAGAGGUGAGUGGAAUUCCUAGUGUAGAGGUGGAAUUCGUAGAUAUUAGGAAGAACACCAGUGGCGAAGGCGGCUCACUGGCCCGGUACUGACGCUGAGGUGCGAAAGCGUGGGGAGCAAACAGG